AUUGAACGCUGGCGGCAUGCCUUACACAUGCAAGUCGAACGGCAGCACGGACUUCGGUCUGGUGGCGAGUGGCGAACGGGUGAGUAAUAUAUCGGAACAUACCUUGUAGUGGGGGAUAACUAUCCGAAAGGAUAGCUAAUACCGCAUACGCUCUAAGGAGGAAAGUGGGGGAUCUUAGGACCUCAUGCUAUAAGAGUGGCCGAUAUCUGAUUAGCUAGUUGGUGAGGUAAAGGCUCACCAAGGCGACGAUCAGUAGCUGGUCUGAGAGGACGACCAGCCACACUGGAACUGAGACACGGUCCAGACUCCUACGGGAGGCAGCAGUGGGGAAUUUUGGACAAUGGGGGCAACCCUGAUCCAGCCAUGCCGCGUGAGUGAAGAAGGCCUUCGGGUUGUAAAGCUCUUUCGGCCGGGAAGAAAUCGGCGACUCUAACGUAGUCGCUGGAUGACGGUACCGGACUAAGAAGCACCGGCUAACUACGUGCCAGCAGCCGCGGUAA
Molecule: ribosomal RNA, 500 nt
Filed under: uncultured bacterium
Lineage: Bacteria
Description: partial 16S ribosomal RNA
Rfam family: Bacterial small subunit ribosomal RNA
Source: RNAcentral